This is a long non-coding RNA of Rhipicephalus sanguineus (brown dog tick), 249 nucleotides long. RefSeq lists it as uncharacterized. The transcript is spliced from 3 exons. The record is from RefSeq and is a predicted model, not a curated record. Lineage: Eukaryota; Metazoa; Arthropoda; Arachnida; Ixodida; Ixodidae.
AUUAAUGUAAUGAUGUGUACUUUCAGAAUACCAAGAUUUCCCCGACUUCUCUCCAGAGCUCUCAGCAUCAAGGCGUGAGACCAUGCCCCUCAAUAUCUCUCCACCAAUACAAGAGCCAGCAUCCCAGGGGGCACAGGAGCCAUUGCCAACAGCACCAACUACACAGAGAACCCCAAGAGCCAGGACCAGGACCCGGAAAGUGCUCACUCCAUGUUAUAUGAAGAGGCUUCAGCACUACUGCGACGAGAA